Molecule: transfer RNA, 71 nt
Filed under: Sternopygus dariensis
Lineage: Eukaryota; Metazoa; Chordata; Actinopteri; Gymnotiformes; Sternopygidae
Also listed under: 1 other name
Description: tRNA-Gln
Rfam family: tRNA
About the family: Transfer RNA (tRNA) molecules are approximately 80 nucleotides in length. Their secondary structure includes four short double-helical elements and three loops (D, anti-codon, and T loops). Further hydrogen bonds mediate the characteristic L-shaped molecular structure. tRNAs have two regions of fundamental functional importance: the anti-codon, which is responsible for specific mRNA codon recognition, and the 3' end, to which the tRNAs corresponding amino acid is attached (by aminoacyl-tRNA synthetases). tRNAs cope with the degeneracy of the genetic code in two manners: having more than one tRNA (with a specific anti-codon) for a particular amino acid; and 'wobble' base-pairing, i.e. permitting non-standard base-pairing at the 3rd anti-codon position.
Source: RNAcentral
UAGAAGGUGGUGUAGUGGAAGCACCUGGAGUUUUGAUCUCUUGGGUAUGGGUUCGAAUCCCAUCUUUCUAG